This 433-nucleotide ribosomal RNA is filed under the name uncultured bacterium. RNAcentral's name for it is "partial 16S ribosomal RNA". It matches the Rfam family "Bacterial small subunit ribosomal RNA", at positions 29 to 507 of the family's 1533-position model. The record is from RNAcentral.
AAUGAACGCUGGCGGCAUGCCUAACACAUGUAAGUCGAACGGGACCAUCGGGAGUAGUGGCGCACAGGUGCGGAACGCGUGGGAACGUGCACGAAGGCUCGGAAUACUUCCUCGAAAGGGGUGCUAAUACAGGAAAACGUAUUCGGACAAAAGAUUUAUCGCCUGGGGGAGGGCAGGGGUUGGAUUAGCUAGUUGGUAGUGUAAAAGCCUACCAAGGCGACGCUACUUAGCUGGUCACAGAGGCUGAUACGCCACUCUUGGACUGGGACACGGCCCGGACUCCUACAGGAGGCGGCAGUGGGGAAUACUGGAAAACCGGCGGAGGCCUGAUGCAGUUCUGCCUCGUGAGCGCUGAUGUCCGUAGAGUAGUAAAGCACUUUAACCCGGGAUGAUAAUGACGGUACCGAAAGAAUAAGCACCGGCUAACUUCGUG